Molecule: ribosomal RNA, 253 nt
Filed under: uncultured bacterium
Lineage: Bacteria
Description: partial 16S ribosomal RNA
Rfam family: Bacterial small subunit ribosomal RNA
Source: RNAcentral
UACGUAGGGUGCAAGCGUUAAUCGGAGUUACUGGGCGUAAAGCGUGCGCAGGCGGUUUUGUAAGUCUGUCGUGAAAGCCCCGGGCUCAACCUGGGAAUUGCGAUGGAGACUGCAAGGCUUGAAUCUGGCAGAGGGGGGUAGAAUUCCACGUGUAGCAGUGAAAUGCGUAGAGAUGUGGAGGAACACCGAUGGCGAAGGCAGCCCCCUGGGUCAAGAUUGACGCUCAUGCACGAAAGCGUGGGGAGCAAACAGG